CUUCAACGACCCCAACCACAGCGGAUGCUCGGCAUCCCGGCCCUGCCCGUACGUGGCCAGCAGGGCCUGGGCCUC
RNAcentral lists this antisense RNA (75 nucleotides) under Salinispora arenicola. Its description in RNAcentral is "ASpks TB sRNA". It matches the Rfam family "ASpks TB sRNA". Lineage: Bacteria; Bacillati; Actinomycetota; Actinomycetes; Micromonosporales; Micromonosporaceae. RNAcentral also lists the same sequence under 1 other name. The record is from RNAcentral.